CCUACGGGAGGCAGCAGUGGGGAAUAUUGGACAAUGGGGGAAACCCUGAUCCAGCGACGCCGCGUGAGUGAAGAAGGAUUUCGGUACGUAAAGCUCUAUCAGCAGGAAAGAAAAUGACGGUACCUGACGAAGAAGCACCGGCUAACUACGUGCCAGCAGCCGCGGUAAUACGUAGGGGGCAAGCGUUAUCCGGAUUUACUGGGUGUAAAGGGAGCGUAGACGGCAGCGCAAGUCUGGAGUGAAAUGCCGGGGCCCAACCCCGGAACUGCGCUUGAAACUGUGACGCUGGAGUGCCGGAGAGGUACGCGGAAUUCCUGUUGUAGCGGUGAAAUGCGUAGAUAUCAGGAGGAACACC
This 355-nucleotide ribosomal RNA is filed under the name uncultured bacterium. RNAcentral describes it as "partial 16S ribosomal RNA". It matches the Rfam family "Bacterial small subunit ribosomal RNA", at positions 338 to 710 of the family's 1533-position model. The record is from RNAcentral.